Molecule: ribosomal RNA, 253 nt
Filed under: uncultured prokaryote
Description: partial 16S ribosomal RNA
Rfam family: Archaeal small subunit ribosomal RNA
Source: RNAcentral
AAUACCAGCACCCCGAGUGGUCGGGACGUUUAUUGGGCCUAAAGCAUCCGUAGCCGGUUCUGCAAGUCUUCCGUUAAAUCCACCUGCUUAACAGAUGGGCCGCGGAAGAUACUAUAAGGCUAGGAGGCGGGAGAGGCAAGCGGUACUCAGUGGGUAGGGGUAAAAUCCUCUGAUCCAUUGAAGACCACCAGUGGCGAAGGCGGCUUGCCAGAACGCGCUCGACGGUGAGGGAUGAAAGCUGGGGGAGCAAACC